CCCUUAGAUGUCCGGGGCCGCACGCGCGCUACACUGAAGGAAUCAGCGUGGCUUUCUCCCUGACCCGAAAGGGUUGGGAAACCCGUUGAAUCUCCUUCGUGAUAGGGAUUGGGGCUUGAAAUUGUUCCCCAUGUACGAGGAAUUCCCAGUAAGCGCGAGUCAUAAGCUCGCGUUGAUUACGUCCCUGCCCUUUGUACACACCGCCCGUCGCUACUACCGAUUGAACGGUUUAGUGAGGGCCUCGGAUUGGUCUCGGCCCGCUCUUUACCGGGCGGCGCCGUUGGUCGAGAAGACGCUCGAACUUGAUCGUUUAGAGGAAGUAAAAGUCGUAACA
RNAcentral lists this ribosomal RNA (334 nucleotides) under uncultured eukaryote. RNAcentral describes it as "partial 18S ribosomal RNA". It matches the Rfam family "Eukaryotic small subunit ribosomal RNA", at positions 1470 to 1796 of the family's 1831-position model. The record is from RNAcentral.